AUGUUCCAUGUUUCAUCACAAGCGGAAGUGCAAAAACGAAUGCCUAAAAAUAUGAAUCCACAAUCUAAUAUUUAUGUAAUUAUCUUGUACAAUUGUACUAACUUGUAUAUGUCAUUAGUGGAACAGAAACAUGCCUGUGAGAAUGAGAAGCCAAUUUUUCUUUUGGUGAGCCACCAAAUUAAUCCGGUAGAACACUCUGAAGUUGAUUUAUACCCCCAAAACUACGGGUUGAGUUCGUAA
Non-coding RNA from Vicia faba (fava bean), 240 nucleotides. The record is from the annotation of a GenBank genome assembly. NCBI's taxonomy places the organism in Eukaryota, Viridiplantae, Streptophyta, Magnoliopsida, Fabales, Fabaceae.